AUUGAACGCUGGCGGCAGGCCUAACACAUGCAAGUCGAACGAGUGGCGGACGGGUGAGUAAUGUAUGGGGAUCUGCCCGAUGGAGGGGGAUAACUACGGGAAACUGUAGCUAAUACCGCAUACCAUCGGAUGAGCCCAAAUGGGAUUAGGUAGUAGGUGGGGUAAAGGCUCACCAAGCCGACGAUCUCUAGCUGGUCUGAGAGGAUGACCAGCCACACUGGGACUGAGACACGGCCCAGACUCCUACGGGAGGCAGCAGUGGGGAAUAUUGCGCAAUGGGCGCAACCCUGAUGCAGCCAUGCCGCGUGAAUGAAGAAGGCCUUCGGGUUGUAAAGUACUUUCAGCGGGGAGGCGUUACCCACAGAAGAAGCACCGGCUAACUCCGUGCCAGCAGCCGCGGUAAUUC
This 406-nucleotide ribosomal RNA is filed under the name uncultured bacterium. RNAcentral describes it as "partial 16S ribosomal RNA". It matches the Rfam family "Bacterial small subunit ribosomal RNA", at positions 30 to 526 of the family's 1533-position model. The record is from RNAcentral.